AGAAUCAACGCUGGCGGCGUGCCUAACACAUGCAAGUCGAACAAGAAAGUGGAGCAAUCCAUGAGUAAAGUGGCGACCGGGUGAGUAACACGUGACUAACCUACCUUCGAGUGGGGGAUAACCUCGGGAAACCGAGGCUAAUACCGCAUAACAUCGUGAGAUCAAAGCAGUAAUGCGCUGGAAGAGGGGGUCGCGGCUGAUUAGCUAGUUGGCGGGGUAAUGGCCCACCAAGGCGAAGAUCGGUAGCCGGCCUGAGAGGGCGCGACGGACCGACGACCUGGAACUGAAACACGGUCCAGACUCCUACGGGAGGCAGCAGUGGGGAAUUUUGCGCAAUGGGGGAAACCCUGACGCAGCAACGCCGCGUGGAGGAUGAAGUCCCUUGGGACGUAAACUCCUUUCGACCAAGACGAUAAUGACGGUACUGGUGGAGAAGCACCGGCUAACUCUGUGCCAGCAGCCGC
RNAcentral lists this ribosomal RNA (464 nucleotides) under uncultured bacterium. RNAcentral's name for it is "SSU rRNA". It matches the Rfam family "Bacterial small subunit ribosomal RNA", at positions 26 to 518 of the family's 1533-position model. The record is from RNAcentral.